GGAAUUGCUAGUAAUCNCGAAUCAGAAUGUCGCGGUGAAUACGUUCCCGGGCCUUGUACACACCGCCCGUCACACCAUGAGAGUCGAUAACACCCGAAGCCUGUGAGCUAACCUUUUAGGAGGCAGCAGUCGAAGGUGGGGUUGAUGAUUGGGGUGAAGUCGUAACAAGGUAGC
Molecule: ribosomal RNA, 174 nt
Filed under: uncultured bacterium
Lineage: Bacteria
Description: partial 16S ribosomal RNA
Rfam family: Bacterial small subunit ribosomal RNA
Source: RNAcentral